AUGAACGCUGGCGGCGUGCCUAAUACAUGCAAGUCGAGCGAACAGACGAGGAGCUUACUCCUCUGACGUUAGCGGCGGACGGGUGAGUAACACGUGGAUAACCUACCUAUAAGACUGGGAUAACUUCGGGAAACCGGAGCUAAUACCGGAUAACAUGUUGAACCGCAUGGUUCAACAGUGAAAGACGGUCUUGCUGUCACUUAUGGAUGGAUCCGCGUCGCAUUAGCUAGUUGGUAAGGUAACGGCUUACCAAGGCAACGAUGCGUAGCCGACCUGAGAGGGUGAUCGGCCACACUGGAACUGAGACACGGUCCAGACUCCUACGGGAGGCAGCAGUAGGGAAUCUUCCGCAAUGGGCGAAAGCCUGACGGAGCAACGCCGCGUGAGUGAAGAAGGUCUUCGGAUCGUAAAACCCUGUUAUUAGGGAAGAACAAAUGUGUAAGUAACUAUGCACGUCUUGACGGUACCUAAUCAGAAAGCCACGGCUAACUACGUG
Molecule: ribosomal RNA, 496 nt
Filed under: uncultured bacterium
Lineage: Bacteria
Description: partial 16S ribosomal RNA
Rfam family: Bacterial small subunit ribosomal RNA
Source: RNAcentral